GCUGGCUUAGCUCAGUUGGUAGAGCAACUGAUUUGUAAUCAGUAGGUCGUUGGUUCAAAUCCGAUAGCCAGCUCCA
RNAcentral lists this transfer RNA (76 nucleotides) under Clostridiales bacterium. Its description in RNAcentral is "tRNA-Thr". It matches the Rfam family "tRNA". From Rfam's summary of the family: Transfer RNA (tRNA) molecules are approximately 80 nucleotides in length. Their secondary structure includes four short double-helical elements and three loops (D, anti-codon, and T loops). Lineage: Bacteria; Bacillati; Bacillota; Clostridia; Eubacteriales. The record is from RNAcentral. RNAcentral also lists the same sequence under 1 other name.